Molecule: ribosomal RNA, 460 nt
Filed under: uncultured bacterium
Lineage: Bacteria
Description: partial 16S ribosomal RNA
Rfam family: Bacterial small subunit ribosomal RNA
Source: RNAcentral
CCUACGUGAGGCAGCAGUUAGGAAUAUUGGUCAAUGGGCGCGAGCCUGAACCAGCCAAGUAGCGUGAAGGAUGACUGCCCUACGGGUUGUAAACUUCUUUUAUAAAGGAAUAAAGUGAGGCACGUGUGCCUUUUUGUAUGUACUUUAUGAAUAAGGAUCGGCUAACUCCGUGCCAGCAGCCGCGGUAAUACGGAGGAUCCGAGCGUUAUCCGGAUUUAUUGGGUUUAAAGGGAGCGUAGAUGGGUUGUUAAGUCAGUUGUGAAUGUUUGCGGCUCAACCGUAAAAUUGCAAUUGAUACUGGCAGUCUUGAGUACAGUUGAGGUAGGCGGAAAUCGUGGUGUAGCGGUGAAAUGCUUAGAUAUCACGAAGAACUCCGAUUGCGAAGGCAGCUUACUAAACUGCCACUGACAUUGAUGCUCGAAAGUGUGGGUAUCAAACAGGAUUAGAUACCCCUGUAGUC